UAUUGCGUGGUGCAUGGUUCAAGCAUUGCGAAUAAUUUCGGCUGCCUUCGUACGGUGUUCGUAAUCCUUCGGUCGUGUCCGGGGUACAUCGGAGGGAAUCGGCUUGGCGGGUAGUUUCACGAUCGCGUGGCUUCUGUCCGGCUUCCAGUCUAUAGAUUUCGCUCCGUCGUGAUACGUCGUAACGCGUGUGUUGUCAAAUUUUCAAAAUUUUUUUUUAAUAAUUAAUUAAGUGACAUUAUUUGUGAGUGUUUCUACUUUCCCCAGUUCAUCAGCAUGGACAUGUACACGAUGGUUGAGGGUGAUGCUCAUCUUUUCAUCAGUUCUUCAGAAUUCUUCUCAGGGAUCACAAUCGCGCGUUACGGUGUUUAAGAACGGUGCAGAGAGAAGUAUGCGAAAAAGAUCGAUAAUCGAGGAGCACCCGAACGUUUCUCGACGCGAACUCAUCGGCGGACAAGGAAUUCUUUCGAGGGUCCGAAAGUUCGCAAAUUGCGGACGCAGUUAAGCGAAACUCGCAGGGGUAUGCGAUGGAAAACAUGGUCGCAAAUGGCCGACAAGUGGUUGCAACCAAAGUGUCGCCGUUAAGAAGUUAAUCGCAGUCAUGUCGAACGAGACUAACGCGACGGACGAUUUUCUCGACUACGACAUCAACGAGUCGUUCAGCUUCUUCGACUGGACGGAAUUGGCACCCACGCUAGUCGUCUACUCCCUCACAUUUUUCCUCGGUUUGAUCGGAAAUGUUGUCAUCAUCGCUUCUACGUUGUGCCCGAGAUUGAGACCCUUACCAGCUACACCAACCAACGUCUUCCUCGGCGGUUUGGCUACGGCUGACCUUUUGCUUAUAACUUUCUGCAUUCCUGUAAAGAUCGCCAAGCUGUUCUCUUACACGUGGACUAUGGGCCUGUUCCUAUGCAAGUCGGUGCAUUAUAUGCAGAGCGUAUCGGCUAUUUGCUCGGUCGUCACGUUAACCGCAAUGUCGAUCGAAAGGUAUUACGCCAUUGUUCAUCCAAUGAGGGCACAAUACACCUGCACUAUAAGCCAAGCCCGUAAAAUAGUGAUUAUAACUUGGGUGGCAUCGUUCCUUCUUGGUAUUCCAAUGAUUUUCACUCAGACACACAAAGUGGUUGGAUUAAGGGUGAUCGCUUACUGGUGCGUUCGGGAUUCGGAUGCAGGACUUUUAUGGCGUGCACACGAAGUUUACAUGCUCGUGUUAGUUCUGGUGUUGCCUUUAACGGUUAUGGCGUUUUGUUACACCGCUAUUUGUUGGGAAAUUUGGCUAGUCAUGAAACGGCGAUACCACAUGACGUCGCGUCACGCGCUGAGCCCGAACAAUGCUGAUACGGAAUCGAUACCCAUGACACAAAGGCAGAGCAUGCGGAACGGUCGUCGUACUUAUCGAGAAGACGGACAGACCGAAGAAGAAUCCCGCACGAUGAAACAGGUGGUGAAAAUGCUGGUGGCUGUGGUGGUGUUAUUCGCCAUCUGUUGGGGUCCAAUUCUUGUAGACAACACCCUCACCGCUUAUGGUUAUCUGCCGCGAGUGAAAACGGGAAUGCAUAAACACCUUAACACGGCGUUUCAGUUGAUGGCUUAUUUUAACAGUUGCAUAAAUCCGAUCAUCUAUGGAUUUAUGUCGAAGCACUUCAGGGAGAGUUUCUUAUCCGCGGCUUGCGGUGGUUGGUGGAUCUGUUGUCCCAGAAGAGGUUACAGGGCCCCGGUGAAGAGGCAUCCUAGCCUCAGCCAAACCAGGACGACCAGUGUCAGAUUGAUAUGGAUAAAUAUGUAUGAUACCCUGAGGCGGUAGGUACUGUGCACGCCAGUAAAUCAUAUACACCGCAAAAAAAUGCAUUGUAUGCGUUCGUUUAGUCGUGUAAUUUGCUGAUCAAAAAACAUUUAUUUCUGUCGUCGUUCCUCUGCCUUGGAUGAUGGACUUGAUU
Molecule: unclassified non-coding RNA, 1934 nt
Filed under: Megachile rotundata (alfalfa leafcutting bee)
Lineage: Eukaryota; Metazoa; Arthropoda; Insecta; Hymenoptera; Megachilidae
Description: pyroglutamylated RFamide peptide receptor-like, transcript variant X1
Source: RNAcentral